This 441-nucleotide ribosomal RNA is filed under the name uncultured bacterium. RNAcentral describes it as "partial 16S ribosomal RNA". It matches the Rfam family "Bacterial small subunit ribosomal RNA", at positions 338 to 795 of the family's 1533-position model. The record is from RNAcentral.
CCUACGGGUGGCAGCAGUGGGGAAUAUUGCACAAUGGGGGAAACCCUGAUGCAGCAACGCCGCGUGAAGGAAGACGGUUUUCGGAGUGUAAACUUCUGUUCUUAGUGAAGCAAAAUGACGGUAGCUAAGUCGCACGCCACUGCUAACUACGUGCCAGCAGCCUCAGUAAUACGGAGGUAGCAAGCGUUGUCCGGAAUUACUGGCUGUAAAGGGAGCGCAGGCGGGGAGCCAAGUCAGCUGUGAAAACUACGGGCUUAACUUGUAGACUGCAGUUGACACUGGUUUUCUUGAGUGAAGUAGAGGUUGGCGGAAUGCCGAGUGUAGCGGUGAAAUGCGUAGAUAUUCGGAGGAACACCGGUGGCGAAGGCGGCCAACUGGGCUUUAACUGACGCUGAGGCUCGAAAGUGUGGGGAGCAAACAGGAUUAGAUACCCCUGUAGUC